This 397-nucleotide ribosomal RNA is filed under the name uncultured bacterium. Its description in RNAcentral is "partial 16S ribosomal RNA". It matches the Rfam family "Bacterial small subunit ribosomal RNA", at positions 523 to 918 of the family's 1533-position model. The record is from RNAcentral.
AUACGUAGGGGGCGAGCGUUGUCCGGAAUGAUUGGGCGUAAAGGGCGCGUAGGCGGCCCGGUAAGUCUGGAGUGAAAGUCCUGUUUUCAAGGUGGGAAUUGCUUUGGAUACUGUGGAGCUUGAGUGCGGAAGAGGUAAGUGGAAUUCCCAGUGUAGCGGUGAAAUGCGUAGAGAUCGGGAGGAACACCAGUGGCGAAGGCGGGUAACUGGACUGCAACUGACGCUGAGGCGCGAAAGUGUGGGGAGCAAACAGGAUUAGAUACCCUGGUAGUCCACACUGUAAACGAUGAAUGCUAGGUGUAAGAGGUAUCGACCCCUUUUGUGCCGGAGUUAACACAAUAAGCAUUCCGCCUGGGGAGUACGGCCGCAAGGUUGAAACUCAAAUGAAUUGACGGGG